This 24-nucleotide ribosomal RNA is filed under the name Tulipa orphanidea. RNAcentral's name for it is "partial 26S ribosomal RNA". Lineage: Eukaryota; Viridiplantae; Streptophyta; Magnoliopsida; Liliales; Liliaceae. The record is from RNAcentral.
GCGACCCCAGGUCAGGCGGACACC